AGAACGAACGCUGGCGGCAUGCCUAAUACAUGCAAGUCGAACGAACACUUCGGUGUUAGUGGCGCACGGGUGCGUAACGCGUGGGAAUCUGCCCUUGGGUUCGGAAUAACAGUUGGAAACGACUGCUAAUACCGGAUGAUAUCGAAAGAUCAAAGAUUUAUCGCCCAGGGAUGAGCCCGCGUAGGAUUAGCUAGUUGGUGAGGUAAAGGCUCACCAAGGCGACGAUCCUUAGCUGGUCUGAGAGGAUGAUCAGCCACACUGGGACUGAGACACGGCCCAGACUCCUACGGGAGGCAGCAGUAGGGAAUAUUGGACAAUGGGCGCAAGCCUGAUCCAGCAAUGCCGCGUGAGUGAUGAAGGCCUUAGGGUGUAAAGCUCUUUUACCCGAGAUGAUAAUGACAGUAUCGGAAGAAUAAGCCCCGGCUAACUCCGUAGCCAGCAGCCGAC
RNAcentral lists this ribosomal RNA (447 nucleotides) under uncultured soil bacterium. RNAcentral's name for it is "bacterial SSU rRNA". It matches the Rfam family "Bacterial small subunit ribosomal RNA", at positions 26 to 518 of the family's 1533-position model. The record is from RNAcentral.